GACAGAGGGUGCAAACGUUGUUCGGAAUUACUGGGCGUAAAGCGCGUGUAGGCGGCCAACUAAGUCGGGCGUGAAAUCCCACGGCUCAACCGUGGAAGUGCACUCGAAACUGGAUGGCUAGAGUCCUGGAGAGGAAGGUGGAAUGCUUGGUGUAGAGGUGAAAUUCGUAGAUAUCAAGCGGAACACCGGUGGCGAAGGCGGCCUUCUGGGACAGUGACUGACGCUGAGACG
Molecule: ribosomal RNA, 231 nt
Filed under: uncultured bacterium
Lineage: Bacteria
Description: partial 16S ribosomal RNA
Rfam family: Bacterial small subunit ribosomal RNA
Source: RNAcentral